This 476-nucleotide ribosomal RNA is filed under the name uncultured Glomus. Its description in RNAcentral is "SSU rRNA". It matches the Rfam family "Eukaryotic small subunit ribosomal RNA", at positions 569 to 1051 of the family's 1831-position model. Lineage: Eukaryota; Fungi; Glomeromycota; Glomeromycetes; Glomerales; Glomeraceae. The record is from RNAcentral.
AGCAGCCGCGGUAAUUCCAGCUCCAAUAGCGUAUAUUAAAGUUGUUGCAGUUAAAAAGCUCGUAGUUGAAUUUCGGGAUCAAGGGAUCGGUCAUGCCUUGGUAUGUACUGGUCUUAUUGGUUCUCACCUUCUAAAGAACCAUGAUGUCAUUUAUUUGAUGUUAUGGGGAAUUAGGACUGUUACCUUGAAAAAUUAGAGUGUUUAAAGCAAGCUUACGCUUGAAUACAUUAGCAUGGAAUAAUGAAAUAGGACAUCAGAUUCUAUUUUGUUGGUUUCUAGGAUCGAUGUAAUGAUUAAUAGGGAUAGUUGGGGGCAUUAGUAUUCAAUUGUCAGAGGUGAAAUUCUUGGAUUUAUUGAAGACUAACUACUGCGAAAGCAUUUGCCAAGGAUGUUUUCAUUAAUCAAGAACGAAAGUUAGGGGAUCGAAGACGAUCAGAUACCGUCGUAGUCUUAACCAUAAACUAUGCCGACUAGGG